AUCCCGUGGUAUGGGCAUUGACGUAGUAGUUGCUUGAAUUUUUCCCAAACCUCGUAUAAGGAUUCAUCAUCCAUUUGCUGAAAAGUGGUGAUCUCAUUCCGUAACU
RNAcentral lists this small nucleolar RNA (106 nucleotides) under Gossypium hirsutum (cotton). RNAcentral's name for it is "Plant small nucleolar RNA R71". It matches the Rfam family "Plant small nucleolar RNA R71". From Rfam's summary of the family: R71 is a member of the C/D box family of snoRNAs containing the C (UGAUGA) and D (CUGA) box motifs. Multiple nearly identical copies of this snoRNA have been identified in Arabidopsis, and it is thought to function as a 2'-O-ribose methylation guide for 18S ribosomal RNA. Lineage: Eukaryota; Viridiplantae; Streptophyta; Magnoliopsida; Malvales; Malvaceae. The record is from Rfam by way of RNAcentral.